RNAcentral lists this ribosomal RNA (1313 nucleotides) under unidentified marine bacterioplankton. RNAcentral describes it as "bacterial SSU rRNA". It matches the Rfam family "Bacterial small subunit ribosomal RNA", at positions 9 to 1371 of the family's 1533-position model. The record is from RNAcentral.
GAGUUUGAUCAUGGCUCAGGAUGAACGCUGGCGGCGUGCUUAACACAUGCAAGUCGAACGAACCUUCGGGUUAGUGGCGGACGGGUGAGUAACGCGUGAGAAUCUGCCCUCAGGAGGGGGAUAACGGUUGGAAACGACCGCUAAUACCCCAUAUGCCGCGAGGUGAAAUGAAUUUCGCCUGAGGAUGAGCUCGCGUCUGAUUAGCUAGUUGGUGGGUAAAGGCCUACCAAGGCAUCGAUCAGUAGCUGGUCUGAGAGGAUGAUCAGCCACACUGGGACUGAGACACGGCCCAGACUCCUACGGGAGGCAGCAGUGGGGAAUUUUCCGCAAUGGGCGAAAGCCUGACGGAGCAACGCCGCGUGAGGGAUGAAGGCCUCUGGGCUGUAAACCUCUUUUAUCAAGGAAGAAGAUCUGACGGUACUUGAUGAAUAAGCCACGGCUAAUUCCGUGCCAGCAGCCGCGGUAAUACGGGAGUGGCAAGCGUUAUCCGGAAUUAUUGGGCGUAAAGCGUCCGCAGGCGGCCCUUCAAGUCUGCUGUUAAAAAGUGGAGCUUAACUCCAUCAUGGCAGUGGAAACUGUUGGGCUUGAGUGUGGUAGGGGCAGAGGGAAUUCCCGGUGUAGCGGUGAAAUGCGUAGAUAUCGGGAAGAACACCAGUGGCGAAGGCGCUCUGCUGGGCCAUCACUGACGCUCAUGGACGAAAGCCAGGGGAGCGAAAGGGAUUAGAUACCCCUGUAGUCCUGGCCGUAAACGAUGAACACUAGGUGUCGGGGGAAUCGACCCCCUCGGUGUCGUAGCCAACGCGUUAAGUGUUCCGCCUGGGGAGUACGCACGCAAGUGUGAAACUCAAAGGAAUUGACGGGGGCCCGCACAAGCGGUGGAGUAUGUGGUUUAAUUCGAUGCAACGCGAAGAACCUUACCAGGGUUUGACAUCCUGCGAAUCUCUUGGAAACGAGAGAGUGCCUUCGGGAACGCAGUGACAGGUGGUGCAUGGCUGUCGUCAGCUCGUGUCGUGAGAUGUUGGGUUAAGUCCCGCAACGAGCGCAACCCACGUCUUUAGUUGCCAGCAUUUAGUUGGGCACUCUAGAGAGACCGCCGGUGAUAAACCGGAGGAAGGUGUGGAUGACGUCAAGUCAUCAUGCCCCUUACAUCCUGGGCUACACACGUACUACAAUGCUACGGACAAAGGGCAGCAAGUUCGCGAGGACAAGCAAAUCCCAUAAACCGUGGCUCAGUUCAGAUCGUAGGCUGCAACUCGCCUACGUGAAGGAGGAAUCGCUAGUAAUCGCAGGUCAGCAUACUGCGGUGAAUACGU